Molecule: long non-coding RNA, 2252 nt
Filed under: Sus scrofa (pig)
Lineage: Eukaryota; Metazoa; Chordata; Mammalia; Artiodactyla; Suidae
Description: lncRNA (ENSSSCG00015022458.1)
Source: RNAcentral
GCAGCACAUGGAGGUUCCCAGGCUCAAGGUCCAAUCAGAGCUGUAGCUGCCAGCCUAUGCCACAGCCACAGCAAUGCGGGAUCCAAGCCACGUCUUUGACCUACACCAGAGCUCAUGGCAACACUGGAUCCUUAACCCACUGAGUGAGGCCAGGGAUCAAACCCGCAUCCUCAUGGAUGCUAGUCAGGUUCACUAACCACUGAACCAUAAUGGGAACUCCCUAUUCAUUCUUUUUAAAAGAUUUGUUAGGGGCAUGUUUACUCUUGUUGCUGCAUUAAUUUUACUACCAAGAUUAACUCUUCUAGGCUGUCUACUGAAUAUCCCAUGCAUGCAAUUCAGGUUACCACACUCCUGCUUUCCUGCUGGAUAGAACUUACAUAUCUUUCAGCUCUGUCUCCAGUCUUGGAAUUGUUCAAGUUAAAUGUUCCUUUGAAUUACUUGUCCAGCAUGAGGAAAUUCUACCCUAUCCACGUGGGUCUUGGUAUUUAGAAACAGGCUCAAAAAGACUCUAGCUAUUGAUAUUUGGGACUCUUUAUCAGGACAGCCACAUCAUCUGUACUAUCCUGCCCCCUAAAAUCAAGUUUUCUCCACCUAUCCACAUCUCAUAGCAAUCUUCUCAUUUCACUGGGAAAUCCUAUCUCUGCUUGGGCUCUCCUUUGCUGUGCCACAGUCUGUGACAUGCUUCCAGGAAAAAAGCUAGUGGAUUGUAAGGCUCAUCUCAUUUGUUUUACUUUCUAUCUUACAUCACAUUCUUGCACUGCUGGCUGUUCAAUGCCCACAGCAACUCUUUUAUAUAUGUUGUCCACUAUUCUAGUUUCUACUGGGCAGACAAAUUCAGUUAGGCAAGGCGGAGAUCUCUAUUCCAACUAGUGAUUUUUAUAUUAGUUCCUCCAAGAUGAUUUGGGUUAACCAAGAUUGAUUUUAAAACUGUGUCAUGACCAGCUAGUUUCUUAAUGCUUCUGUUUUUCACGUCAACGUGAGUUUUAUAAGAAUGUCUACAUCUGUAUAACAAGAUGUGAAUAUUUUUGUCUUGUGAAUAAUUUCAAUUUGUAGGCUCACCAAAUCCAUUUGUAAAUUUGCAACUCAAACAAUGGAAAAUAAAAAAAAUAAAAUAUGUCAUCUUUUAUGCUGUUUCAACUAGGAAUUUGUCCUUGGUACAGGGGAAGAUAAGUAUUUUAGUCAUGCAAACGCAUGACCACUUAAUGAAAUUGUAAAUAUAUUUUUUGUGCGACUUUUUUUCCGCAAAGACAAGUUAAUUCUUCCCUAACCUUCUUCUUUCCCUCUUGAUAAAAAAUGGUUUAAACAUGACAUUCCUAUCCCACUGUUCCAUGUAAAUAAGUUUCCUUUGAGGCCGGUAUUUGUUCUGUAUGAGUGUCACAUACUUAUUUUUCUAUUCACUGACUGUUUUGUUGGUUAAUCUGGGUCCCAAUUUUCUUCAUGACCUGUAAAAUUGUCUUUUCCAACUUCUUGGCAGCAGCAGCUUGCAGCCUUGGUGAUGUUUCAUGUGGCCUACCUCUUGCCUUGGCUAAGCUCAGAUCAUAUGUCCAUCAUCGGAAGUAUACAAAAUGUGGUCUAACCAUGAAAGAGUCUUCCAAGACAAAAUCAUAAAUAGAGAUGCUUUAGUUUAGAAUAUUUAGAAAUAUCUGUGCCAUCUGUGAAUACAGAAUUUGCCAAAGAAAAAUAAGUCGGAAAUCUAUGGUUUUCCUUUUGAACUUCCAAUUAAAAUGGGCCCAAUAUUGAGGUAAUUCAACCACAAAAUAUAUUUUAAAAAAUAGUGUUAAUUAUAGCUAUUCUGGCUUUCCAUAUACUGUUUUCUUCUGUGAUUAUAGCAUAAAUACUUCUGUGGUUUCAUUUUCUAUGUAAUCACUAAAAGAGAUCCUUAAAACUUCUGAGAAAAGAAUAGUAAAAAUAAUAGUUAUGAAGUAGGAUAAUAAUUUACUGUGUACACCCCUUAUAUAUUAUCUUAAUGGUGAGAAUAUUAGGAGCUUAACAGUAUAAUUUAUUAAUUACAUUAUUUUACUGGUCAUUUUGCUAGUAUUAAAUAUAAAUUUUGAAAAUUAAUAGUCUUUUAAAAUGAUGGCUUAAAGAAUUAGAUAUUGGAUGAUUUAGUCAAGAAGUACUUGGAAUAAUCUGGGGCAAGGAAAAGGAGGAUUGUGGGAUGAAUAAUUUUUAUUUAAAUAUUUUACCUUAGCUAUUCAAAUCUAACCAGAGAGAUGUGAUUAGGGAGCUUGGAAAUUCUUGAGCUCCGUAGC